GGUACCCAGUUCAGAUUGCAGGCUGCAACUCGCCUGUAUGAAGUCGGAAUUGCUAGUAAUCGCGGAUCAGCAUGCCGCGGUGAAUACGUUCCCGGGCCUUGUACACACCGCCCGUCACACCAUGGGAGCCGGUAAUACCCGAAGUCAGUAGUCUAGCCGCAAGGAGGGCGCUGCCGAAGGUAGGAUUGGCGACUGGGGUGAAGUCGUAACAAGGUAUC
Molecule: ribosomal RNA, 218 nt
Filed under: uncultured bacterium
Lineage: Bacteria
Description: partial 16S ribosomal RNA
Rfam family: Bacterial small subunit ribosomal RNA
Source: RNAcentral